GGCCACCGUUUCGGCUUUUGUUGGUUUUAGAAGUCCGGAGAUUAUGGGGCCGCGUGCCUUGGGUCGGUGUUUCGUGUCUAAUUUUUGUGGCGCGCACAUUCGGCUCUUCGUGAUGUUUUUUUACAUUCAUUGCGACGCGCGGCUUCCAGGAAUGAAGGAGGGUAGUUCGGGGGAGAACGUACUGGUGCGUCAG
Molecule: ribosomal RNA, 193 nt
Filed under: Trypanosoma brucei
Lineage: Eukaryota; Euglenozoa; Kinetoplastea; Trypanosomatida; Trypanosomatidae
Description: partial small subunit ribosomal RNA
Source: RNAcentral